This 240-nucleotide long non-coding RNA is filed under the name Elaeis guineensis (African oil palm). RNAcentral's name for it is "long non-coding RNA (EGUI_LNC056544)". The record is from RNAcentral. Lineage: Eukaryota; Viridiplantae; Streptophyta; Magnoliopsida; Arecales; Arecaceae.
ACCCUCUGACCCAAUUUUUCUUUUGUAAAUCUAUUUACACCCAAUAGGUACAAUACCUUCAGGUGGAUCUACUAAGGACCAAACUUGGAUGGAAUGCAUGGAGUCAAUUUCUAACUUCAUUGCUUCCAUUCAUUUUUUAGAGUCUAUAUCUAACAUUACCUCAUCAUAGGUCUUGGGAUCAUUCUUAAUGUCCUUAUCUCCUAUAAGAAACUCUUCCUCUAAAUCCUUUGUAAGAAUAUC